Non-coding RNA from Drosophila virilis, 1908 nucleotides. Lineage: Eukaryota; Metazoa; Arthropoda; Insecta; Diptera; Drosophilidae. The record is from RefSeq and is a predicted model, not a curated record.
ACGGUAGUUGAUCUUAUUAUUGCAGUCGGAUGCUUUCAAAAAUAGUUCCAUAUUUGCAAACAAACUUUUCUGUCAUAACAAUAUUUUUUGUGCCUUCUAGGUUAAGUUUUAAUCAUUGUUUUAUUUAUAAGUAUAUGGAGGUCGUUUGACGUCGACGGCCGCUGAGCGUUCAUCAUUUUAAGCGAGCGUUUAAAUAUCCACUCGGAUGCAUAUUUUUGGCACCAAACCCGUAACCGUAAAUGCGACACAUCUGAGAUGACAUCACGGGCGGAUUGCGGCUAACUUGCGUACUUUUCGCAACGCGCUUAGCGGUACUUUCGCAGCCACCACCCCAAAUGCACAUAUAUACAUAUUCAUAUAAAAACAAAUAACCCACCGAAAAUUGAGCCGGCCGAUUGAGUUGGGUGCGCAGUUAUUUUGGGAAUUGCGCAAUUUGGGUUUCAAGUGCAAAAGCUGGCCGCUGAACCCACGACAUCAGCAGCAGCAACAACAACAACAACAGAAACACUUCCUGACACCUUGUCGUCAGCUACAUGCUUCGAAGGGCUCCGCUCUUUCUUGUUGCUAGGCUUCCGGCAUUGCUGAUGGCCAGCGGCGCACGUAGGCACCCAUUGAACGGCACCUACUGGCACCCUGUGGCGACACCACUCGGUGGCUCGUUGGAAGCCGGUUCACGCUCUAUGUGCCAUCAUAAUCGUCAUCGUUACCCCGUACGAUUGCCAUGCCUAACAGGUGUGCACAGCGUGGCUCGCACGCCCAGUUCUGGCCCCAGGUUUAAUAAACCGUCGAUUUGGGCACAUGCUCCGCAUUAAUUCGGCGAAUCGUUGCCGUCGCGCCUGCGCCGCAUGCUGAAUGAGCCAGGCAACGCGUGCGAGGUUCGCUUCUGACGUAGUUGCCGGUAGCCUAUUUGCCUAUUUAUGCAAGGGGCAUUUAACACCAGAAAGCCGGCUGGGUAAGAAUGGUCUAGUUUGAGUUAGACUUAGAAAAAUAUUGUCAUGGUUUAGUAAAUUAGUUUAAUUGAAUUUAAAUAUUUACGUCUUAUAAAUUGAAAAUCAAAACUUGUCUCCAGAUCUGAAAUGCCUUAGCUCUUCCUUAUUCAUGCAGUAAAGUAAUGUUGUAUGUAACCGAAAAAAACAAGGAGACUGAUUUAAAUAAAUAUACAUAUAUAAACCGCUAAAGCUGGAAAAAUAAAGAUUUAGAUCGAGAUAGGUUGAGUGAGUAAGAGAUACUGAUUUUUAGAUUUGGCACACAAUUUGUUAACAUAAGCUCGCAUAGCAAGUUCCCCGUUUUGGGUUGUACAGGUCUUUCUGGUGUUAAAAUGUAUUAUAAAUUUACGUGGUAUCUAGCAUACAAAUCGAAUCUUAAUUUCUACAAUUUGCGACAUUGUUAACACAAAUUUCCAUUGUUUCAUUUGGCAACAACUUCCUUCUACAGAAAUACAAUUGUGAUGUAGAUAUAGAAAAAACUACACGCAUUUCAAAUCACAAUUCCAUGGAAAUGUUGUUUUACACUUUGUAUUUUUUUUUUCAGAAUAAUGGGUAUGUUUUGCACCAACGCCAUCCGCAUUAAAAGCAAUAUAUUUUGUUUAUCUAGCACAUUGUUUGCUUUGUUGGUAAAUAUAUUUAUAUGAUAUCCUUGCUGCAGCUGCACAGCCGCGUAUCCUCCCCCUCACCACUCGGCGUGAUAACAUUUUAUAUUUUAUAGAGGAAGAAAAAAACUUGUUCUGCUUAUAAAAAGAGAGUGGUGCUGAGCUGUCUGGCGUAAUUUGAGAAAGUUCAUGAUCUCAACUGUGCCCAUCUGUUGUUGUCGGUCUCCGGCCUGCCAGAAGAUGCAGCUCUCCAGUGUAAUUGAUUCUUCCUGCCGUUUGUCAGGAAGCUGAAAAAAAUAAAAAAUAACUUGUCAGACAGA